Molecule: unclassified non-coding RNA, 224 nt
Filed under: Hevea brasiliensis (rubber tree)
Lineage: Eukaryota; Viridiplantae; Streptophyta; Magnoliopsida; Malpighiales; Euphorbiaceae
Source: RNAcentral
AAUAAUAAUAUAUGAUCAUAGCUAGGAAGCAUCCAAAAUCAACAGAGAACUUCCACCAACCCCAAAAUGAAAAUCCAAUGAACAUGAAUGUAAAUUAGAAUUUAGUGUCUGCAGAUACCUCCCCUCCAUUCCAUUAAUUUAAUGACCUCUUUUAAUAUAUAAGCACCACUAGGCAUAAUUUAGCAGUGUAUUUGAUAUGAUCUCGAAUUUAAUAAUUAUUAAAU